This 268-nucleotide ribosomal RNA is filed under the name Clostridioides difficile. RNAcentral's name for it is "partial 16S ribosomal RNA". It matches the Rfam family "Bacterial small subunit ribosomal RNA", at positions 1 to 276 of the family's 1533-position model. The record is from RNAcentral. Lineage: Bacteria; Bacillati; Bacillota; Clostridia; Peptostreptococcales; Peptostreptococcaceae.
UUUUAUUUGAGAGUUUGAUCCUGGCUCAGGAUGAACGCUGGCGGCGUGCCUAACACAUGCAAGUUGAGCGAUUUACUUCGGUAAAGAGCGGCGGACGGGUGAGUAACGCGUGGGUAACCUACCCUGUACACACGGAUAACAUACCGAAAGGUAUGCUAAUACGGGAUAAUAUAUUUGAGAGGCAUCUCUUAAAUAUCAAAGGUGAGCCAGUACAGGAUGGACCCGCGUCUGAUUAGUUAGUUGGUAAGGUAACGGCUUACCAAGGCGA